This 427-nucleotide long non-coding RNA is filed under the name Parus major (Great Tit). Its description in RNAcentral is "lncRNA (ENSPMJG00000015668.1)". The record is from RNAcentral. Lineage: Eukaryota; Metazoa; Chordata; Aves; Passeriformes; Paridae.
AGGAGAGAAAGAAAGAGGAAGGGGCAGAAGGAGCCGGAGGCGAGCGCGGAUCGCGGAUCCCGCCGGGGAUGGGGGAUGGGAGCUGGAUCCCUUCCAGCUGCCAUCAGCACCCGGCCAGAUCUUUGUCCUUUGGCUCUCCUUAAUGCCCUGCCAAGGCCAGCCCUGGGGGAAAUGGAAUGAAUCCCUGUGAAUUCCAGCAGGAAGGAGCCCCAGAGGAGCUGAGGGAGGCCUGAGGAGGAGCUGCUGGAGGAGGGGACACCCCAAUAACUGCCCGGGCCUGUGGCCUCCUGCCCUUUACUAACAAAUGUCAACAGCUCGGUAAAGUCCUGCCUUCCUUCUUUCCAAAACCAGGAUUUGGGGUUUUGGGGGCAGAAAAGUCCGGUUUUCCCCGCUGUGUGUGAAAAGGGAGGAAUUCGGGUCUCGUUCC